RNAcentral lists this ribosomal RNA (558 nucleotides) under uncultured eukaryote. RNAcentral's name for it is "SSU rRNA". It matches the Rfam family "Eukaryotic small subunit ribosomal RNA", at positions 5 to 565 of the family's 1831-position model. The record is from RNAcentral.
UGGUUGAUCCUGCCAGUAGUCAUAUGCUUGUCUCAAAGAUUAAGCCAUGCAUGUAUAAGUUCACACCUUUAUAUGGUGAAACCGCGAAUGGCUCAUUAAAUCAGCUAUGGUUCCUUAGAUCUUACAUCCAUACUUGGAUAACUGUAGUAAUUCUAGAGCUAAUACAUGCCAAAAUGCCCUGACUUCGGAAAGGGUGGAUUUAUUAGAACAAAACCAACCGGUUUACCGUUUGGCUUUGAUGACUCUGGAUAACUUUUCUGAUCGCAUGGCCUUGAGCCAGCGACGUAUCUUUCAAAUGUCUGCCCUAUCAACUAUCGAUGGUAGGUGAUAUGCCUACCAUGGUUAUGACGGGUAACGGGGAAUCAGGGUUCGAUUCCGGAGAGGGAGCCUUAGAAAUGGCUACCACAUCUAAGGAAGGCAGCAGGCGCGCAAAUUACCCACUCUCAGCUAGAGGAGGUAGUGACGAAAAAUAACGAUGCGGGACUCUUUGAGGCUCCGCAAUUGGAAUGAGAACAAUUUAAAUCCUUUAACGAGGAACAAUUGGAGGGCAAGUCUGGU